AUUGUCUUGCAGACAAUAUCAUAAUGGUGAAGUUAAGGAACAGCCAUAAACAUGAUAACCAGACUACAACAGAAACCCAUUUUCUAGAACACGGCUUCCAGUUUCUUCUUCUCUCCCAAUGCUUGGUGGCGUUUUGAGGAUAAAAUGUCACAAAGUUGUGGUUUUUUGUUGUUCACUCAUAUCGGUCAUCAUAAUUUUCCAUUAUUUUAAGAGCAACAAUAAUAGCUAUCCUCCCAAUGGAUUCCUGGAGUCAGUCGAAGAUACAUACCGCCAUUACCGUGGGAGCAGGAAACGUAUCAACCCGCUUGACUUCACCUACACAAUUCCAGGUGAGAAAAUCUGUCGACACAGAUCUCCCUUCUUGCUCAUCUUCGUCGUGUCCCUGCACACGCGACGAUCCCAGCGAGACGCAAUCCGCUCCACGUGGGGCAGCGUAUCGAUCGGAAAACCGUGGCCAAGAAGCCAAUAUGGAAAUCAACCGUCAAACCCGCCUCCUAAUCUCUUCACGAAAGUUGUCUUCCUCUUCGGGUAUCACCCCAACGACACACACAAUCGAGAGCUACUUCACGAAAGUGCUCAGCACAACGAUGUCGUACAGGCGAACUUUACCGAAAGUUACCGAAAUUUAACUCGUAAAGUCCUCAUGGGUUUGAAAUGGGCUCGUCACUACUGCCCCCAAGCCAAGUUUGUUAUGAAAAUUGAUGAUGACACUUUUGUCAAUGUACCUAUGGUGUUUGACUAUCUCCUGUCUAAAGACGUUUGGGAAAGAACGAUUAUGGGUUUUAUCAACAUAGACUCCAUACCGUUUCGGUUGUACACAAAAUGGCAAGUUAGCUGGACUGAAUAUCCAUAUAUGCGAUACCCAAUCUACACUUCCGGUAAUAUCUAUGUGUUUCUCUCCAGGACUUCCUGUUUGCUGUUAGACGUGGCGGAAUAUAUUCCUUAUGUGUCUAUGGAGGACGUUUACAUCACAGGGAUUCUAGCAGAAGUGAUUCACGCUAAACAUCGAUUAAUUCCAUUGAAAUGGUAUUCUCCAUAUAAGACAGCUUCCCCGUGUGAGUUAGCCACCAACAAGAAAAUGGCGAGCCAAAUGAUAACGGCCAAAUUACAUUACUUGGUAUGGAAGGCAAUGCAGGAAAAAAUUUGUGAUUGAUAUGAUUAUGUACAUAAUGAUUGUUUAUAAAUUUGUAUGUAUAUGAUAUGUGGGAACGGCUGUUUAUGUAUAUAUACCAAUAUAUAUGUAUAUUAAUGUAUUGGAGUGUAUAUGCCUGUAAGUAUUUCUAUAUAUAUAUAUAUAUACGCGUGUACAUGAUAUAAAUAUAUGCAAAACAAGAAUAAAACGAGUUAGAACCUAUAAAAAAAUCAUUUGGUGAAGAGUACAUACCUAUGCACAUGCAUACAUAUAUGUGUGUAUGUGUGUGUGUGUGUGUGUUGUGUG
Molecule: unclassified non-coding RNA, 1438 nt
Filed under: Octopus sinensis (East Asian common octopus)
Lineage: Eukaryota; Metazoa; Mollusca; Cephalopoda; Octopoda; Octopodidae
Description: beta-1,3-galactosyltransferase 5-like, transcript variant X3
Source: RNAcentral